AGAGUCGAUCGGACAGUCGCUGUUUCGUUACUUUGGUAACGAGAGGGAGGAAAGUCCGGGCUCCAUAGGGCAAAGUGCCAGGUAACCCCUGGGAGGCGCGAGCCUACGGAAAGUGCCACAGAAAAUACCGCCUAAGCACGCAAGUGCCGGUAAGGGUGAAAAGGUGCGGUAAGAGCGCACCGCACGGCUGGUAACAGUCCGUGGCUAGGUAAACCCCACUUGGAGCAAGACCAAAUAGGAGUCCAUUGGCGUGGCCCGCGCUGGACUCGGGUAGGUUGCUUGAGGUCGCUAGUGAUGGCGAUCCUAGAGGAAUGACUGUUCACGACAAAACCCGGCUUAUAGAUCGACUCUCUCU
This 355-nucleotide RNase P RNA is filed under the name Pseudomonas sp. C27(2019). RNAcentral's name for it is "Bacterial RNase P class A". It matches the Rfam family "Bacterial RNase P class A". Rfam says of the family: Ribonuclease P (RNase P) is a ubiquitous endoribonuclease, found in archaea, bacteria and eukarya as well as chloroplasts and mitochondria. Its best characterised activity is the generation of mature 5'-ends of tRNAs by cleaving the 5'-leader elements of precursor-tRNAs. The record is from Rfam by way of RNAcentral. Lineage: Bacteria; Pseudomonadati; Pseudomonadota; Gammaproteobacteria; Pseudomonadales; Pseudomonadaceae.